GUAAGAAUUCACGAAUUCCCAAAAGUAUUCAAUAUGUUUGAGGAUGGAAGAAUAGAAGUUCGGAUUCCCCAAACCAAGCCGGAGCUCAAAAAGGACACCAUAGCUAAAAGGAUAUUCGAAGAACUGCGGGUCAGCCAAAAUAAACAUCCCGCUUUGUAGUGGCCAUUUUGUUCUGAGGUAACAUGGUUUCUCAACUUUAAUAAGCUGAAAACCUGAAUAUAUCGCCCACGCAACCACUUGUGCCUUAGAUGAAUUUUUUUGUACGACGUCGUGGUUACGCUGUAUAAUCUCCGUCUUCAACAGAAUUUCGUGAAAAUGAGC
Molecule: unclassified non-coding RNA, 321 nt
Filed under: Bombus terrestris (buff-tailed bumblebee)
Lineage: Eukaryota; Metazoa; Arthropoda; Insecta; Hymenoptera; Apidae
Description: misc RNA ENSBTSG00005033132.1
Source: RNAcentral